UCCGUAGGCGGUGUGGCAAGUCGGAAGUGAAAUCUCUGGGCUUAAUCCAGAGGCUGCUUCCGAAACUGCCGUGCUAGAGUGUGAGAGAGGCGAGUGGAAUUGCGGGUGUAGCGGUGAAAUGCGUAGAUAUCCGCAGGAACAUCCGAGGCGAAAGCGGCUCGCUGGAUCACAACUGACGCUGAGGGACGAAAGCUAGGGGAGCAAACAGGAUUAGAUACCCUGGUAGUCCUAGCCCUAAACCAUCAGGACUUGGGGUUUGCCCUGUACGGGGCAAGUCCCGUAGCUAACGCGUUAAGUCCUGCGCCUGGGGAGUACGGUCGCAAGGCUGAA
RNAcentral lists this ribosomal RNA (330 nucleotides) under uncultured bacterium. RNAcentral's name for it is "bacterial SSU rRNA". It matches the Rfam family "Bacterial small subunit ribosomal RNA", at positions 568 to 898 of the family's 1533-position model. The record is from RNAcentral.